Molecule: ribosomal RNA, 476 nt
Filed under: uncultured organism
Description: partial 16S ribosomal RNA
Rfam family: Bacterial small subunit ribosomal RNA
Source: RNAcentral
GUACACUCCUACGGGAGGCAGCAGUGGGGAAUAUUGCACAAUGGGCGCAAGCCUGAUGCAGCCAUGCCGCGUGUAUGAAGAAGGCCUUCGGGUUGUAAAGUACUUUCAGCGGGGAGGAAGGCGAUAAGGUUAAUAACCUUGUUGAUUGACGUUACCCGCAGAAGAAGCACCGGCUAACUCCGUGCCAGCAGCCGCGGUAAUACGGAGGGUGCAAGCGUUAAUCGGAAUUACUGGGCGUAAAGCGCACGCAGGCGGUCUGUCAAGUCGGAUGUGAAAUCCCCGGGCUCAACCUGGGAACUGCAUUCGAAACUGGCAGGCUAGAGUCUUGUAGAGGGGGGUAGAAUUCCAGGUGUAGCGGUGAAAUGCGUAGAGAUCUUGAGGAAUACCGGUGGCGAAGGCGGCCCCCUGGACAAAGACUGACGCUCAGGUGCGAAAGCGUGGGGAGCAAACAGGAUUAGAAACCCCGGUAGUCCCAU